CCAGUUCGAAAGGCAGGCGACCACCAUUAAUACAAGAUGUUACAGGAUAUCUAUAACUAGAGAAAAAUAACCAAGCAGAAUGUAUAAUGAAGACGCAGC
This is a long non-coding RNA of Octopus sinensis (East Asian common octopus), 99 nucleotides long. RefSeq lists it as uncharacterized. The record is from RefSeq and is a predicted model, not a curated record. The transcript has 2 exons. NCBI's taxonomy places the organism in Eukaryota, Metazoa, Mollusca, Cephalopoda, Octopoda, Octopodidae.